GCGGGGCCAGUUAGCUUAGCCUGUUAGCUCGUUGUCGCGGCUACUGGCCAGGUCCUCCCUGCUUCGCUGCUGCUGCUCGACCACGGCCUGCCGACACCGCGCUUGGGCGUAAUGAAGGGCGGGAUAGUGAAAAAGGAGCGCGUGGAAAGCCAGCAAGACGAGGAGGAAGAUGUGUACGAGGUGGAGAGGAUCAUUGAAAUGCGUGUGGAGGAGGGUGAGGUGCUCUACAGGGUGCGCUGGAAAGGUUACUGCUCCGAUGACGACACCUGGGAGCCUGAGGCCCACCUGGAGGACUGCCGUAAGGUCUUGUUAGCGUUUAAGAAGGCCACCACGGACGGCAAAAAAGAAGCAGAGGCCAAGAAGGUUGUGCAGAAAGCGCUUCCUACAAAGAGCGACUUGUUUGAGGCCGACUCAGAGAGCGACAGCGACAAAGAUCGUCUGAGCGAGGCUCCCGUCAAGAAGAAGAAGAAAAAGAAGGUACGGGAAGAAGAGGAAGAGCUGCAGCCCCGUAAGGAGAAGAAGAAAGACAAGUGGAGGGAUGAGUUCAAGACCGUGUCGGCGCCGGAGACCGAUGAGGAGGAGACUGUGCCGCCCUCCUCUCCCGAGUCUAAGGAGAAACAAGCGAAGCAAAAAAAGCAUCUGAUUGACUCGGAUGACGAGGAGGAGGAGCUGGCUCCACCCAAGAAAGACAAGACGAAAGAUGGAGGCAAGCACAGGAAGGACCGAGGGGAGAAGGGGAAGAAGAAGAAAGCCAAGAAGGAGCGCAAGAUCGAGUCUUCUGAACACGAGGGCCCUGCCGGCCUCCUCGAGGACGACCGAAGCGAAGGCCUCUCCGACGCCCAACUGGAUGAGACGUCCGCCAAGCCCCCGGAGAAGACGCGCAUGGAGGACAAGGCCAAACACAAGAAGGGCAAGUUGGAUGUGAAGCUACAGGGUAUCAAGGAGCUCAUCCUGGACAGGAAGAGCAAGAAAGGCGACUUCUCGCUCAAAGAGAGCAGCCUCCACAAACUGAAGAGCCUCACGUCCAGAGGCAGGGAGGAGGCGGCGCCACACUCGUCCGACUCCAGCGACAGCUCCAGCCUGCACAAGAAGGCCAAGAGCAAAAGUCAGGAAGUGGUCUCCAAGCCCAGCCAGAGUUACAGCUUCAGCCUGGACAGCGACGAGAGGGAAGCACAGAAGUCGGCAACCAAGCCCAGGCCCGGGGACGAUUCCCGGGAGAGGCUGGAAGAGAGCCAGCGGCUGAGCUGGGAGAGGAAGGGGCCGGCUGACGACCGGAAGAAGCGGCGGGAAGACGGCGAGCCCAAACUCCAUGGGGCAAGUGAUAGCCACAUAAGCAGCCAGGACCCGCUGGAGACCACAGACAAAUCUGACAGAGGUCCAGCAGCCUUGAGCCUGGGAAUGGAUCUCAACCUGGACUGGAUGACCCUCGACGACUUUCAGAAACAUCUGAAUGGAGAAGACGAGAUCCUUUCUGCGCCUCUACUGUCGCCCAGCGAGGUGUGGGAUGCUGUGAAAAGUGGAGAUUACACGGCUGUAAAAUUGGCACUCAAUUCCAAAGAGCAGUACAAUUUGGACCUAGAGACAAAGGAUGCAGAAGCUGGGGUCGUCGCUGAAGAAGUUUCCUCCCCUGCUGUCCAGGAUGACACACAGAUGGGAGAACCUUCACACUCACAGAACCCUCACCAACGGAUUGAAACAGAUUGCCAAGAUGAUGCGCCAAGACUGAGGCGCACAAAAAGUAUUAUAAGAAAAGGCAGAUGUCCUGAAGACGCUGAUGACCUUUAUGAAACUACAUCAGUGAGCGAUUUGUCAGUCAGUGCUGAUGAGUAUGUUUCACAUACCACCUUUGAAAGUGAAGACAGUGAAGAUAGCCUGACAAUAAGGUCAAAAAAGCCUUUUCGUCAUGAAUUCUUGGAUGAUCCUGGCUCAAUAAGUCCUCCAGCCUGUGACAGCACAACAGUAGACCACAUGGACUUGGACAUAAACAGCACUGGAACAGAGGAACCCUGCUCAAGUCAGGAAACAAUUGACGCCGUAUUUGUUUGUGCUCCCCUCAAAAAACAUGGAAAUAGAGUUUACAGCAAAAGACAUUAUUGCUUGUAUUGCAGUAAGCCUUAUGCCAAGAUGGCAAGGCAUCUAGAAAGUGUUCACAAAAACACAUUGGAAGUAGCCAAAGCUCUUAGCUUCCCAAAGAGUUCCAUGGAGAGAAGGAAACAGCUCGAGUAUAUUCGUAAUAAAGGCAACUAUGCUCACAAUGCUGCUAUUAUGGAGUCAGGAAAGGGUGAACUAGUGCCAUUCAAACGACCACAUAAAGAAACUAAAGGAAAUGACUUUAUGCACUGUGCAUAUUGCCAAGGACUGUUUACUAGAAAGGUACUGUGGAGACACAUGCGAAGUUGUCGCUUCAAACCUGCAUCAGUCACCCAAAAACCAGGAAAGAACCGUGUCCAGUCCAUGUGCACAUAUACUGGGCCUGUGCCUUCAAGUAUAUCCAAACAACUGUGGGGAGUAAUAAGUGCCAUGAUUCCUGAUCCAAUCACAGAAAUAAUAAAAGAUGACCUUGUCAUCACAGAUGUUGGGCAUCACCUGUUGAACAAACGUGGUAUGUCAGAAAAAAAUCAACACUUUGUCAGAGAGAAGAUGCGGGAAUUAGGACGACUGGUUCAUAAUGCCAGAAAAGUAACUACCUUGAAAAAAAUGGAGGAUUUUGUGAAUCCUAAGAACUACUUGGAGAUGGUCAAAGCUGUCAAAUGUACUUGUGGCUUUGAUAGUGACACCAACAAAUUCUGCAUUCCAUCCCUGGCAACUAAACUUGGGAAUUCCCUGGUCAAAGUCAGCAAACUCUUGAAAGCACAAGGUUUGAUCAUGAACAAUGAAGAGCUGGUCAGGAAUGCCACUCAGUUUCAAGAAGUCCACAGUGAGAAGUGGAACGAGUUGGUCUCUGUAACAGCCCUGAGGAACAUAGCUGAAGGAAAGUGGAAUGCACCACUACUUAUGUCCUUCACUGAGGAUGUUCAAAAACUGCAUCAGUUUCUCACUCAAAUGCAUGAUGAGUGCAGCAGUGCGCUAUCUGAAAGUUCUUCCACAAAGGCCUGGUCGGACCUGACCAAAGUAUGUUUGACACAGAUCAUCCUCUUUAACAGACCAAGAGAAGGAGAGGUAGCAGCCACGCCCUUGCUGGCUUUUUUGUCAAGAGACACAGCUGAUCCUCAUGAAGAUUUGGACUGGGCUCUCUCUGAAGUGGAAAAAAAACUCUGCAGCCUUUUUACAAGGAUUGUCAUCAGGGGAAAACGAGGCAGACCUGUUCCUAUUCUCUUGACUCCAAAAAUGGUGUGUGCAUUAGAACUUCUCGUUAAGUGCAGAGAAACUUGCGGGGUUCUCAGAGACAACACUUACCUUUUUGCAAGACCCGCAGCGAUGACGCAUUUCCGUGGUUCAGACUGCAUACGACACUAUGCAAAAGCAUGUCAUGCAACGUGUCCUGUGUCACUUACAUCCACCAAACUACGAACACAUGCUGCCACCCUUUCAACUGUGCUGAACAUGACAGACACAGAGAUGGACCAGCUGGCCAACUUUCUUGGCCAUGAUAUUAGAAUCCAUCGCGAGUUCUCUAGACUCCCUGAAAAGACACUGCAGCUGGCAAAAAUCAGCAAAGUUUUGAUGGCACUCGAGCAAGGUCGACUAUCAGAGUUCCAUGGCAAGAACUUAGAUGAAAUCUCAAUUGGUCCAAAUGAAAGUGUUGUGGAAACUGAAGAGGAAGAUCUUACCAGAGAGGACGAAAGCUGUUCAUUUCUUGAUAAUGAAGAGGGGGUCUUUCCAACCACUGAGGAGGAAGCAAUCCCACCCCCCAAGAGACUGAAACUACUUUCAAAAGAAGAGGAGGUAUCCUCAGGAGAUGGUGCAGUGAGACAUUCUGCCAAAGCAGGAGGUAAUAAAGGAAGAUCUCCAUCGAGACAGAGAGACUGUUAAAACUGAAGAAAGAUAAGGAAGACUUCUAUAAACAAGUUAUGGAUGCUUUUGAUCAGAAGGAGCUGCACAUGGACUUCAUUUAUAAGUAAAGGUCUUGCUGCCCAGAAAAGGUGACCCUGGACAGAGAAAGAGGUGAAGGCUGUGGAGAAGCACAUGAAGCCAUUCAUCACUUCUGCUAUUGUAGCAGCAAAGAGGGACUGUUUGAAAUGUUUUAGGGCCCAACCGGAAGCUCUCCGAAACUGGGAAUGGCAAGCAUAGAAGUUCUAUGUGUACAAACGCAUUCUGGCCUACAAAAGGAGAUUGCAGGUAAAAUAUUAGAUUAAGAGAUAAUCAGCAAGACUGGUUAAGUAGAACAGUUUAUGUUCUAUAUGUAUCAGGAAAACACUGCAUCAGAGGUUCCAGAAGAGUUCAAUGCAUGUUUCAUGGAUAUUCUGUUAACAUUCUCAGGAACUUUCAUAGUAAACAUGCGAAGACUCCUGUUUCCUUCUGAAGCUGAGUGUAUAAAAGUGACACACAGAGCAGGUCUCUGCAGCUAACAACCUGAUGCUAUUACAAUGUUGUUCAUAUUGCAUGUUAAAUUAAGUUUAAAUUAGUUUGUAUUUUAUUUCUGUGUUUAAGGUAAGCUAAAAUAAUCCUAUAUUGAUCCCACAACAGGGAUUUUUGGGUUACUUUGUAUACGUAAAUAUUGGUAAAAGAGAAAAUGAAUUUUCUUGAAAAGUGAAACAUGUUAUCCUGGCUUUAAUAGUUCUGUCAUUCUGCAUGGUAUACAUCCCUAGUUCAAACUAAUAUAAUUUUCCAAAAACAAAAAUCGGGUUUAGUGUUCCUUAGGAUGACAUUUUCAUACAGCAUGAUUAUAAAACAUUAUUACCUUAAAGUAUGAUUCACAUUCAGAAUGGUCCAUCCUUCUAUGAAUGGUAGUUGGAGUUGCAGACAACUUCAUGACUGCUAAACAGCAGUUUUCAGUCAUGUCACAGAAGAUGCAGGAUUUGCUUUAACAUUUAAGUGGUGAAACUUGCUAUGAGAAGACAGCUGUAGUGCUGGAUUCUGAGCAUCAUCUCAUAUUGCAUCUGUACUUUUUGUUUUGUUUUAAAUGGUCUUCAGUAGUCACAUACACAUCCGUGUGAAUUAUGCUAUAUUAUUUAAAUGUGGUCCCCAUGAACUAUAUAAACUAUUUUUCCCCAGGGUCCCCAGUAAGAAUGUUUAGCACAUGACUUAAUCAAUCUAGAGAUUUAAAGAGGUGUAUGAGCUAACUGGCCAGUGGACAUUUGACCUCAUUGUUUUUAUGCCUCCACAAGCUGUAGAAAGGCUGGUCCCCACAAGUACUGAACAAACACUUGGUCCCCACAAGUACUGAACAAACACUUGGUCCCCACAAGUACUGAACAAACACUUGGUCCCCACAAGUACCGAACAAACACUUAGUACUGAACGAACACUUGGUCCCUGUUCCAAAUGAUAACCUGUGUGUGUGUGUGUGUGUGUGUGUGUGUGUGUGUGUGUGUGUGUGUGUGUGUGUGUGUGUGUGUGUGUGUGUGUGUGUGUGUGUGUGUGUGUGUGUGUGUGUGUGUGUGACAAAGAGUGUGAGAGAGAGACACAGAAGGUUCUGUCAGGAAGUGGGAGCAGCGUCACCAAACUCCCUCAAUGACCUCAGGAUCAUUUUGGUGUUUGAGCCUUUUUACUAUCUAUUUUAAUUGUACUUUUCUUCAUUUAAUCUCUUAUUCCUUCUUCUUUGUUGAAAGGAAGUCUUUGUUUUGUGGAGUGGAUUGUGUAUCUUCUGUCAGUCCUUCAUCUUGACCAUUGCAUGCGCUUUUGCUUCCUUUAUUGACUAAAUAAAGUCUCAUUGUUUGCACUUCGCACCAAUA
RNA transcript from Nerophis ophidion (straightnose pipefish), 5834 nucleotides. RefSeq lists it as uncharacterized. The record is from RefSeq and is a predicted model, not a curated record. NCBI's taxonomy places the organism in Eukaryota, Metazoa, Chordata, Actinopteri, Syngnathiformes, Syngnathidae. The transcript is spliced from 13 exons.